UACGGAGGGUGCAAGCGUUAAUCGGAAUUACUGGGCGUAAAGCGUGCGUAGGCGGUUAUUUAAGUCAGAUGUGAAAGCCCCGGGCUUAACCUGGGAACUGCAUUUGAUACUGGGUAACUAGAGUUUAAUAGAGGAGAGUGGAAUUUCAGGUGUAGCGGUGAAAUGCGUAGAGAUCUGAAGGAACACCAGUGGCGAAGGCGACUCUCUGGAUUAAAACUGACGCUGAGGUACGAAAGCGUGGGUAGCAAACAGGAUUAGAUACCCUGGUAGUCCACGCCGUAAACGAUGUCAACUAGCCGUUGGGCCUUUUAACAGGCUUAGUGGCGCAGCUAACGCAUUAAGUUGACCGCCUGGGGAGUACGGCCGCAAGGUUAAA
RNAcentral lists this ribosomal RNA (376 nucleotides) under uncultured bacterium. Its description in RNAcentral is "bacterial SSU rRNA". It matches the Rfam family "Bacterial small subunit ribosomal RNA", at positions 524 to 898 of the family's 1533-position model. The record is from RNAcentral.